This 463-nucleotide long non-coding RNA is filed under the name Sorghum bicolor (sorghum). RNAcentral describes it as "long non-coding RNA (SBIC_LNC007371)". The record is from RNAcentral. Lineage: Eukaryota; Viridiplantae; Streptophyta; Magnoliopsida; Poales; Poaceae.
AACCAAAGAAGCACAUUUAAGUGAAAUUCAUUUAACAGUACUCAAGUUUGCAAUCAGGUGACUUGAUAUGAUCAUCGCCACACCAAAGCAAGGAAGCACUCAAGUUUUGCAAUCAGGUGUAUACACAUUGGUCCAGAUAGCCAGCAGAUUCAGGUUCAAGUUACAACCAUCAGGUGAAAGCGAAACUUCCAACUAGCUUUUGCUGUUUUAUUUCAUAGCAGUAAUCCAACACUACGAUGAACAGAACAGAUAUCAUAAUAGCAAUUCAACACUGAGGAACACAGACAUCAUAGUAGUAAUUCAGCACAGGGAAAUCUCCAGCCAUCAGGUUCUUGCAGGGAAAAGGACCAAUUCAGACAGGGACAAAGACCCCGAUCCGCUAUUCUCGGUGUUUCUUUGAUUGUCUACCAGAGUUCAUCAACUUGAAUAGAGAAUUUAGAUUAGCCAAAUCCAGUUUUACCUG